AGUGAACGCUGGCGGCGUGCUUAACGCAUGCAAGUCGAACGAGAACGGGCUAUAGCUUGCUAUAGUUGUCAGCUAAGUGGCGCACGGGUGAGUAAUGUAUAGGUAAUAUGCCUCUUACUAAGGGAUAACAAAUGGAAACGUUUGCUAAUACCUUAUACUCCUUAUUAACAGAAGUUAAUAAGGGAAAGAUUUAUUGGUAAGAGAUUAGCCUGUAUUGUAUCAGUUAGUUGGUGGGGUAAUGGCUUACCAAGACUAUGACACAUAACUGGUUUGAGAGGAUGAUCAGUCACACUGGAACUGAGACACGGUCCAGACUCCUACGGGAGGCAGCAGUGGGGAAUAUUGCACAAUGGACGAAAGUCUGAUGCAGCAACGCCGCGUGGAGGAUGACACAUUUCGGUGCGUAAACUCCUUUUAUAUGAGAAGAUAAUGACGGUAUUAUAUGAAUAAGCACCGGCUAACUCCGUGCCAGCAGCCGCAGUAA
Molecule: ribosomal RNA, 484 nt
Filed under: uncultured bacterium
Lineage: Bacteria
Description: partial 16S ribosomal RNA
Rfam family: Bacterial small subunit ribosomal RNA
Source: RNAcentral